UGCGGUUAUACAAAAAUUAAAUUAAUUUUUAUUAGAAUUUAAUAAAUAAAAUUAAUUAAUAAAUAACUUAAAUUUUAAAUUAUAAAGUGAAAUUUUAAUUUAAUUAAAAUUUAUUUUUUUUUAUGACAUUAAUAAAUUUUAUAAAAAACUAGGAUUAGAUACCCUAUUAUAAAAAUUUAAAUUUAAUAAUUCUAAAAUAGUAUAUAAUUUAUAGAAACUUAAAUAAUUUGGCGGUAUUUUAGUUCAUUUAGAGGAAUCUGUCUAAUAAUUGAUAAUCCACGAUUAAAUUUACUUAAUUUAUAAUUUUGUAUAUCGUUGUUAAAAAAAUAUUUUUAAAUAAAUAUAAUAUUUUAAAAUUUAAAUAAAAAAUUAAAUCAGAUCAAGAUGCAGAAUAUAAUUAAGAAUAUGAUGGAUUACAAUAAAUUUUAUUUUAUUUUGGAUAUUAAUUUGAAAUAAAUUAAUUGAAAUUGGAUUUAAAUGUAAUUUUAUUUAUUUUUUUAAAAUGAUUUUAAAUUAAAAUAUGUACAUAUUGCCCGUCGCUUUCAUUUAUAAAUUGAAAUAAGUCGUAACAAAGUAGAGGUACUGGAAAGUGUUUCUAGAAAGAU
Molecule: ribosomal RNA, 605 nt
Filed under: Zygaena felix boursini
Lineage: Eukaryota; Metazoa; Arthropoda; Insecta; Lepidoptera; Zygaenidae
Description: partial 12S ribosomal RNA
Source: RNAcentral